Molecule: small RNA, 229 nt
Filed under: Saimiri boliviensis boliviensis (Bolivian squirrel monkey)
Lineage: Eukaryota; Metazoa; Chordata; Mammalia; Primates; Cebidae
Description: Metazoan signal recognition particle RNA (ENSSBOG00000001476.1)
Rfam family: Metazoan signal recognition particle RNA
About the family: The signal recognition particle (SRP) is a universally conserved ribonucleoprotein.
Source: RNAcentral
GCCGGGCAUGGUGGCACAUGCCUGUAGUCCCAGCUACUCGGGAGGCUGAGGCUGGAAGAUCACUUGAGCCCAGGAGUUCAGGGCUGUAGUGCGCUAUGCCAAUUGGGUGUCCACACUAAGUUCGGCAUCAACAUGGUGACCUCCUGGGAGCGAGGGACCACCAGGUUGCCGUGAGCCAAGAUUACACCACUGCACUCCAGCCUGGGCCACAGAGCGAGACUCUGUCUCA